AUAAGAGGUCCCGCCUGCCCUGUGACUGUAAGUUUAACGGCCGCGGUAUUUUGACCGUGCAAAGGUAGCGCAAUCACUUGUCUUUUAAAUGAAGACCUGUAUGAAUGGCAUAACGAGGGCUUAACUGUCUCCUUUUUCCAGUCAAUGAAAUUGAUCUCCCCGUGCAGAAGCGGGGAUACUGACAUAAGACGAGAAGACCCUAUGGAGCUUUAGACACCAGGACAGCCCAUGUUAAGCACCCCCUNAACAAAGGACAAAACUAAUUGGCCCCUGCCCUAAUGUCUUUGGUUGGGGCGACCGCGGAGAAACAAAAAACCUCCAUGUGGACCGGGAGCACACUACUCCUACAACCCAGAGCUACAACUCCAAGAAACAGAAUUUCUGACCAACAAGAUCCGGCACACAGCCGAUCAACGGACCGAGUUACCCUAGGGAUAACAGCGCAAUCCUCUUUUAGAGCCCAUAUCGACAAGAGGGUUUACGACCUCGAUGUUGGAUCAGGACAUCCUAAUGGU
RNAcentral lists this ribosomal RNA (515 nucleotides) under Tilapia sp. ZSM36123. RNAcentral's name for it is "partial 16S ribosomal RNA". It matches the Rfam family "Bacterial large subunit ribosomal RNA", at positions 1845 to 2554 of the family's 2925-position model. The record is from RNAcentral. Lineage: Eukaryota; Metazoa; Chordata; Actinopteri; Cichliformes; Cichlidae.